This 506-nucleotide ribosomal RNA is filed under the name Ommastrephes brevimanus. RNAcentral's name for it is "partial 16S rRNA". It matches the Rfam family "Bacterial large subunit ribosomal RNA", at positions 1808 to 2584 of the family's 2925-position model. The record is from RNAcentral. Lineage: Eukaryota; Metazoa; Mollusca; Cephalopoda; Oegopsida; Ommastrephidae.
CAAAAACAUGUCUCUUUGUAAAAUAUAAAUAGAGAGUCGGGCCUGCUCGGUGAAUAAGUUUUUAACAGCUGCGGUAUUUUAACUGUACUAAGGUAGCAUAAUAAUUUGCCUUAUAAUUUGAGGCUAGAAUGAAUGGUUUGACGAAGGUUAAUCUGUCUCCAUCUUAUUUUUUAGAAGUUAAUUUUUAAAGUGAAAAAGCUUAAAUCUUUCAAAGGGACGAGAAGACCCUAAUGAGCUUAUAAUUUUAUUAUCAUUAUUUAAAACAUUUAGGUGGUGGUAUAUAAAUUUUAAUUGGGGUGAUUAAGGAAUAAAUUGUGUAUAGUAACUUCCUUAAAUUAGGUAUUUAUAGAUAAAGUAACCAAUGUAAUAUUGCUUAUAGUAUAGUUACCAUAGGGAUAACAGCGUAAUUUGUUUAGAGAGUUCUUAUUGAAAAACGAGAUUGCGACCUCGAUGUUGGAUUAAAGUAACCCUAAGGUGCAGAAGCUUUAGUAGGUAAAUCUGUUCGA